Molecule: long non-coding RNA, 559 nt
Filed under: Homo sapiens (human)
Lineage: Eukaryota; Metazoa; Chordata; Mammalia; Primates; Hominidae
Description: HSALNT0233836
Source: RNAcentral
UCCUAUUCCAUUUUAUUCAUCCACUCCAUUCUAAGAUGGAAGGUUGAGUAGUAGCUCAUUAAUGACCAGUCAGUUCUGCCUCUGGAAAGCUGUUUACAGAGAGCUCUCAGCCAGGUGGCUUCCAGGAUUUAUGGCCAAGGUGACCUUCCCACCCGACUGCACAAUGGCACCUUGACAGGCUGAAUCGUCAGCUUAGCAAGUGUGAGGGACUAUGACUUCUCUAAUCAAUUUGUGUAAUGCAGUGAACAUGCCUUGGCACUAACCCAGAAGUGCUCCAUCUUUGGACAAACAUUGAUCAUUUCAAAUGAAAUCGAUCAAAGAAUCCAUUAUCCUCUCUUCUAGAAACCCAUCUGUCAUCUCACACACAUUAGGCGAUAACCAGAGUUGUCCAAACAGAGAUGGCAUAUACAUUAGCCACUCUCAAGCCGGACAAAAGAGAGCCAAACCUUUCAUUGCAAAACAUUUACUUAGCUCACCCACUGUAUCUGAAAUAUCUUUUUGAAGUGUCACGUUUUCAGCCUCACAAGCUGUCUAGAAACCACAGACAUUUACAUAGCCC